This 330-nucleotide ribosomal RNA is filed under the name uncultured bacterium. RNAcentral describes it as "bacterial SSU rRNA". It matches the Rfam family "Bacterial small subunit ribosomal RNA", at positions 568 to 898 of the family's 1533-position model. The record is from RNAcentral.
CGCGUAGGUGGUAGUGUAAGUCUGGGGUGGAAUCCCAGGGCUCAACCCUGGAACUGCCUUGGAAACUGCAUUACUUGAGUCAGUGAGGGGAGGGUAGAAUUCCUGGUGUAGCGGUGAAAUGCGUAGAUAUCAGGAGGAAGGCCUGUGGCGAAGGCGGCCCUCUGGCGCUGGACUGACACUGAGGCGCGAAAGCGUGGGGAGCAAACAGGAUUAGAUACCCUGGUAGUCCACGCCCUAAACAGUGGGCACUAGGUGUAGGGCUCGUAAGGGUUCUGUGCCGAAGGGAAACCAUUAAGUGCCCCGCCUGGGGAGUACGGCCGCAAGGUUGAA